RNAcentral lists this ribosomal RNA (253 nucleotides) under uncultured bacterium. RNAcentral's name for it is "partial 16S ribosomal RNA". It matches the Rfam family "Bacterial small subunit ribosomal RNA", at positions 524 to 776 of the family's 1533-position model. The record is from RNAcentral.
UACGAAGGGGGCUAGCGUUGCUCGGAAUUACUGGGCGUAAAGCGCACGUAGGCGGCUUUCUAAGUCGGGGGUGAAAUCCUGGAGCUCAACUCCAGAACUGCCUUUGAUACUGGCGAUCUCGAGUCCGGGAGAGGUGAGUGGAACUGCGAGUGUAGAGGUGAAAUUCGUAGAUAUUCGCAAGAACACCAGUGGCGAAGGCGGCUCACUGGCCCGGUACUGACGCUGAGGUGCGAAAGCGUGGGGAGCAAACAGG